This 547-nucleotide ribosomal RNA is filed under the name uncultured Glomeromycotina. RNAcentral describes it as "SSU rRNA". It matches the Rfam family "Eukaryotic small subunit ribosomal RNA", at positions 548 to 1098 of the family's 1831-position model. The record is from RNAcentral. Lineage: Eukaryota; Fungi; Glomeromycota.
UUGGAGGGCAGUCUGGUGCCAGCAGCCGCGGUAAUUCCAGCUCCAAUAGCGUAUAUUAAAGUUGUUGCAGUUAAAAAGCUCGUAGUUGAAUUUCGGGAUCAGAUUGUCGGUCGUGCCUCGGUACGCACUGGUAUUAUUGGUUCCUACCUUCUGAAGAACCGCGAUGUCGUUAAUUUGGUGUCGUGGGGAAUCAGGACUGUUACUUUGAAAAAAUUAGAGUGUUUAAAGCAGGCUUACGCUUGAAUACAUUAGCAUGGAAUAAUGAAAUAGGACGUUUGAUUCUAUUUUGUUGGUUUCUAGGAUUGACGUAAUGAUUAAUAGGGAUAGUUGGGGGCAUUAGUAUUCAAUUGUCAGAGGUGAAAUUCUUGGAUUUAUUGAAGACUAACUACUGCGAAAGCAUUUGCCAAGGAUGUUUUCAUUAAUCAAGAACGAAAGUUAGGGGAUCGAAGACGAUCAGAUACCGUCGUAGUCUUAACCAUAAACUAUGCCGACUAGGGAUCGGAUGAUGUUAACUUUUUAAUGACUCAUUCGGCGCCUUACGGGAAAC